Molecule: RNA transcript, 969 nt
Organism: Sorghum bicolor (sorghum)
Lineage: Eukaryota; Viridiplantae; Streptophyta; Magnoliopsida; Poales; Poaceae
Exons: 5
Source: RefSeq, a predicted model, not a curated record
CAUGCCCGUGCGCGCAUCGCCGCCCUGCUGCAUCCGUCCCUCCCUUGAUUCCUUGGUAUAUCCAUCCCCACCCAAAGCAAGCGAGCAGCUCGAGGAGAGAGUCGAGUGAAGAAGAAGAAACAAACCACCCACCACGACGAAAUCAGACGCCAGCCACGAGCGAACCAAGGGAGGGAGGGAGGGAGGCGGAUGGGGCAGUGCCCGUGUUUCGGCGGGUCGGCGCAGGCGGCGGAGCAGGAGCGGCAGCGGGCGGAGGCGGAGCGGCGCGAGUCGCAGGACGCCCGCGCCAAGGCCGCCGAGGCCGCGCAGCGGAGGACGCGCUCGGGUUGAGGGUUUAUCGGAUUGUGGGAUUUGAUUGGGCGCCCCCGCCGCCUCCCCGAACUCCAAGACGUUGGAUUUAGUGGACCCUCGAUCGAAUCAUAUUCUCAUGGCCGCCCUUCCUGAAUCGAAUCGAAUUGAAUCCAGCUCGGCCUCGGCUGUUGUAGUGUGGAGCUGCCACUGUGGUAGCCUAGAUCCUGCUUCUUGACAGCAGGAGUAUGAGAAAUCGGCAGCUGGAAGGGCAGCCAAAGCACAGAUGAAGGCGAUGAAGGAAUCCAAGACAUCAAACCAUGGAGGAGGAGAGCCGGUUCUUAAGUGGCAGAUGGGGUCAUAACUUUCAUUUCUGUUGAUUUGAAUCCCUCAGUGUACUUUUGAUGGCAAACAGGAAAUUGAUUGCGACUAAUUUCUGAUAGGAUGCACUGUGAUUGUGUGAUUAUGCCAGUGAAGUGUACAUCGGUUUUUCCAUCUGCUAUACUGUACAUGCUACCCAUAGACUGCCUAACUUUCCAGUUACAGCUUACAAGUUUGUGUUGUGUAAAUGAAGAACAAAGUAUAUUUUUUAUGAACACCAGUAUACUGGUAGCAUUUGCAUUGAGGCUUUUACCCCACUUUAUAUAUUUAUAAAAGCCAUAGUCUGACUACAGUACUGAA